AUCCACCCAAAAAAGCACCUGUUUCUCUACCACCAUUAUCUAUACCACCUGUUUCACUUCCACCAUUACCAUUACCACCAGCUUCUAAACCACCAAAGGUAUCCCCAGCACCUGCAAAGGUUCCAAAAGCACCAGCACCGGCCAAAGAAGCACCAGCACCAGCACCUACACACAAAAAGAAAGCACCAGCACCCGCACCAGACAAAGAAACACCGGCACCAGCACCUACACACAAAAAGAAGAAAGCACCAAAAUCAUCACCUGUUCCUUCCCCAGCAAUUCUCCCACCAUCACCUGCACCAACACCUGCAAUAGACACACCAUCAUCAGCACCAGCACCAUCGCCUGAAGAUGAUGCGCCAGAACCACCGCCACCCCACAAGCACAAGAGAAGAAAACACAAGCAUAGUAAGCAUAAGAAACAUCACGCACUAGCUCUAGCACCAGAGCCUACAAGUUCAAGUUCAACAAUCAUUAGGAGGAGUCCCCCAGCACCACUGGCUGAUGAUAAUACUACAAUGAGUUC
RNAcentral lists this long non-coding RNA (526 nucleotides) under Medicago truncatula (barrel medic). Its description in RNAcentral is "long non-coding RNA (MTRU_LNC006403)". Lineage: Eukaryota; Viridiplantae; Streptophyta; Magnoliopsida; Fabales; Fabaceae. The record is from RNAcentral.